Molecule: ribosomal RNA, 119 nt
Filed under: Pteropus alecto (black flying fox)
Lineage: Eukaryota; Metazoa; Chordata; Mammalia; Chiroptera; Pteropodidae
Source: RNAcentral
GCGUAUGGCCAUGCUACCCUGAACAAGCCCGAUCCCGUCUGAUCUCUGAAGCUAAGCAGGGUCGGGCCUGGUUAGUACUUGGGUGGGAGGCCACCGAGGAAGACCAGGCACUGUAGGUG